This 541-nucleotide ribosomal RNA is filed under the name uncultured bacterium. RNAcentral's name for it is "partial 16S ribosomal RNA". It matches the Rfam family "Bacterial small subunit ribosomal RNA", at positions 355 to 887 of the family's 1533-position model. The record is from RNAcentral.
UAGGGAAUCUUCCACAAUGGACGCAAGUCUGAUGGAGCAACGCCGCGUGAGUGAAGAAGGUUUUCGGACCGUAAAGCUCUGUUGUUGGUGAAGAAGGAUAGAGGUAGUAACUGGCCUUUAUUUGACGGUAAUCAACCAGAAAGUCACGGCUAACUACGUGCCAGCAGCCGCGGUAAUACGUAGGUGGCAAGCGUUGUCCGGAUUUAUUGGGCGUAAAGCGAGCGCAGGCGGAAGAAUAAGUCUGAUGUGAAAGCCCUCGGCUUAACCGAGGAAUUGCAUCGGAAACUGUUUUCUGAGUGCAGAAGAGGAGAGUAGAACUCCAUGUGUAGCGGUGGAAUGCGUAGAUAUAUGGAAGAAUACCAGUGGCGAAGGCGGCUCUCUGGUCUGCAACUGACGCUGAGGCUCGAAAGCAUGGGUAGCGAACAGGAUUAGAUACCCUGGUAGUCCAUGCCGUAAACGAUGAGUGCUAAGUGUUGGGAGGCUUCCGCCUCUCAGUGCUGCAGCUAACGCAUUUAAGCACUCCGCCUGGGGGAGUACGACC